This 892-nucleotide non-coding RNA is filed under the name Arcovomer passarellii (Passarelli's frog). Its description in RNAcentral is "partial 12S ribosomal RNA". It matches the Rfam family "Bacterial small subunit ribosomal RNA". The record is from RNAcentral. Lineage: Eukaryota; Metazoa; Chordata; Amphibia; Anura; Microhylidae.
CUUGUCUUACACAUGCAAGUAUCUGCACCCCCGUGAGAACGCCCUUCACCCCUUUAAAGGAAGAGGAGCUGGCAUCAGGCACAUUUUAUUGCCCACGACGCCUAGCCACGCCACACCCACAAGGGUAUUCAGCAGUGAUAAACAUUGUCCAUAAGCGAAAGCUUGAGUCAGUCAAAGAAAACUGAGCCGGCAAACCCGGUGCCAGCCGCCGCGGCUACACCGUGGGGCUCAAGUUGAUUAACACCGGCGUUAAGCGUGAUUAAAGUAAAACACUAGUUAGGGUAAAAUUAAAACCAAGCUGUGACAUGCUUGUUCUUAAGAAACUCAAAAACGAAAGUUACUCUAACCCACCCACUUGAAACCACGACAGCUGGGGUACAAACUGGGAUUAGAUACCCCACUAUGCCCAGCCGUAAAACAUUAACUUACACCCAUAUCGCCAGGGAAUUACGAGCUCAAGCUUAAAACCCAAAGGACUUGACGGUGUCCCACCCACCUAGAGGAGCCUGUUCUAUAAUCGAUUUUCCCCGAUUCACCUCACCCCUUCUAGCCCCUCAGUCUGUAUACCUCCGUCGCAAGCUUACCCUAUGAACGAAAUUAGUGAGCUAAAAGAUCAUUUACCAACACGUCAGGUCAAGGUGCAGCCCACGAAAGGGGAAGCAAUGGGCUACAAUUUCUAACAUAGAACAAACGAAAGACCACAUGAAACAAUGUCAUGAAGGCGGAUUUAGCAGUAAAAAGAAAGUAGAGAGUUCUUUUUAACAAGGCCCUGGGACGCGUACACACCGCCCGUCACCCUCUUCAAAUGCAGUCACACAGUCAUUAACCCCCUCCCGCCAAUCAGAAGAGGUAAGUCGUAACACGGUAAGCGUACUGGAAAGUGCGCUUGGAU